UAAAUUGCGAUAAAUGGUGUGAUACGCACAUAUUGAACAUCGAAGCUUCGAAUGCACAUUGCGCUGAUGGCUCUUCAUGCCAUUAGCACAUCUGGCUCAGGGUCACUACUCAGAAAGAGACAACUGUCUCACUAUUUCUUGCUCAGUUCUCUCAGGUGUAUUUGAGAGCUGUUCUUGAAGUAUAAAAACAUGCUUGACUGCGUCUAAGGCUUGGUGUUUAUGAAUCGUGUGGAUCGACGACAGCUUCUUUCCUCCUUCGUAAUGCGCUUUUCCGACGGCGGUAAAUAAGAGCGAUUCUUAUACGUGACCUGAGCUCAGGUGUGAGUACCCGCUGGAUUUAA
RNAcentral lists this unclassified non-coding RNA (341 nucleotides) under uncultured fungus. Its description in RNAcentral is "sequence contains ITS1". The stretch from base 1 to 105 matches the Rfam family "5.8S ribosomal RNA", at positions 49 to 154 of the family's 154-position model. Lineage: Eukaryota; Fungi. The record is from RNAcentral.